RNAcentral lists this ribosomal RNA (187 nucleotides) under uncultured bacterium. RNAcentral's name for it is "partial 16S ribosomal RNA". It matches the Rfam family "Bacterial small subunit ribosomal RNA", at positions 1314 to 1500 of the family's 1533-position model. The record is from RNAcentral.
GCCUUCAUGAAGCUGGAAUUGCUAGUAAUGGCAGGUCAGCAUACUGCCGUGAAUACGUUCCCGGGCCUUGUACACACCGCCCGUCACACCAUGGGAGUCGGUAACACCCGAAGCCUGUAGUCUAACCGCAAGGAGGACGCAGUCGAAGGUGGGAUUGAUGACUGGGGUGAAGUCGUAACAAGGUAUC